GCAAAUAAGCAUCAAAGUUGGUUAGAACGUGGUGUUGAUAACGCCAAGGUUGCAGGUUCGAUCCCUGUAUAGGACAGCUGCA
RNAcentral lists this transfer RNA (82 nucleotides) under Podarcis lilfordi (Lilford's wall lizard). RNAcentral describes it as "tRNA.Ile". Lineage: Eukaryota; Metazoa; Chordata; Lepidosauria; Squamata; Lacertidae. The record is from RNAcentral.